CUUCGGGCCUUGGUAGCGCAGCUAACGCGUGAAGUUGACCGCCUGGGGAGUACGGUCGCAAGAUUAAAACUCAAAGGAAUUGACGGGGACCCGCACAAGCGGUGGAUGAUGUGGAUUAAUUCGAUGCAACGCGAAAAACCUUACCUACCCUUGACAUGUCUGGAAUGCCGAAGAGAUUUGGCAGUGCUCGCAAGAGAACCGGAACACAGGUGCUGCAUGGCUGUCGUCAGCUCGUGUCGUGAGAUGUUGGGUUAAGUCCCGCAACGAGCGCAACCCUUGUCAUUAGUUGCUACGAAAGGGCACUCUAAUGAGACUGCCGGUGACAAACCGGAGGAAGGUGGGGAUGACGUCAAGUCCUCAUGGCCCUUAUGGGUAGGGCUUCACACGUCAUACAAUGGUCGGGACAGAGGGUCGCCAACCCGCGAGGGGGAGCCAAUCCCAGAAACCCGAUCGUAGUCCGGAUCGCAGUCUGCAACUCGACUGCGUGAAGUCGGAAUCGCUAGUAAUCGCGGAUCAGCAUGUCGCGGUGAAUACGUU
Molecule: ribosomal RNA, 537 nt
Filed under: uncultured bacterium
Lineage: Bacteria
Description: bacterial SSU rRNA
Rfam family: Bacterial small subunit ribosomal RNA
Source: RNAcentral